UACACCGCCCGUCGCUCCUACCGAUUGGAUGACUCGGUGAAAUCACCGGAUGCUUACGAGCAGAAAGUGAUUAAAUCACGUUAUCUAGAGGAAGGAGAAGUCGUAACAAGGUAACGGUAGGUGAACCUGCCGUUGGAUCAGUUCUAGUUUUAAUAACUAACACCAACUUCUUUUAUUAAACAAAAACCAAUACAAAAUUAAAAACUAAUUUCAUCAAAAACCAAGUCUCUAAGCAAUGG
This 239-nucleotide ribosomal RNA is filed under the name Trichomonas vaginalis. Its description in RNAcentral is "partial small subunit ribosomal RNA". The stretch from base 1 to 143 matches the Rfam family "Eukaryotic small subunit ribosomal RNA", at positions 1665 to 1831 of the family's 1831-position model. Lineage: Eukaryota; Parabasalia; Trichomonadida; Trichomonadidae. The record is from RNAcentral.